ACUUACCUAAUAUAACCAGUAUAUUUGACUUCCAAUCAAACAGUUUGUAUUUACAAGGCAAGUA
RNAcentral lists this transfer RNA (64 nucleotides) under Proneotermes latifrons. RNAcentral's name for it is "tRNA-Gly". The record is from RNAcentral. Lineage: Eukaryota; Metazoa; Arthropoda; Insecta; Blattodea; Kalotermitidae.